Molecule: ribosomal RNA, 433 nt
Filed under: uncultured bacterium
Lineage: Bacteria
Description: partial 16S ribosomal RNA
Rfam family: Bacterial small subunit ribosomal RNA
Source: RNAcentral
AACGAACGCUGGCGGCAUGCCUAACACAUGCAAGUCGAACGAGACCUUCGGGUCUAGUGGCGCACGGGUGCGUAACGCGUGGGAACCUGCCUUUAGGUUCGGAAUAACUCAGAGAAAUUUGAGCUAAUACCGGAUGAUGUCUUCGGACCAAAGAUUUAUCGCCUUUAGAUGGGCCCGCGUUGGAUUAGCUAGUUGGUGGGGUAAAGGCCUACCAAGGCGACGAUCCAUAGCUGGUCUGAGAGGAUGAUCAGCCACACUGGGACUAAGACACGGCCCAGACUCCUACGGGAGGCAGCAGUGGGGAAUAUUGGACAAUGGGCGAAAGCCUGAUCCAGCAAUGCCGCGUGAGUGAUGAAGGCCUUAGGGUUGUAAAGCUCUUUUACCCGAGAUGAUAAUGACAGUAUCGGGAGAAUAAGCUCCGGCUAACUCCGUG